CGCGUAGGCGGCUUGGUCAGUCGGAUGUGAAAGCCCCGGGCUCAACCUGGGAAUUGCAUUCGAUACUGCCGAGCUCGAGUAUGGGAGAGGGAAGUGGAGUUUCCGGUGUAGCGGUGAAAUGCGUAGAUAUCGGAAGGAACACCAGUGGCGAAGGCGACUUCCUGGCCCAAUACUGACGCUGAGGUGCGAAAGCGUGGGGAGCAAACA
This 207-nucleotide ribosomal RNA is filed under the name uncultured bacterium. RNAcentral describes it as "partial 16S ribosomal RNA". It matches the Rfam family "Bacterial small subunit ribosomal RNA", at positions 568 to 774 of the family's 1533-position model. The record is from RNAcentral.